GUUAAGCAGUAUGUCGCCUGCUGCUGAGUGUGAGUGACGCUGGGGCUUUGCAGUCAGCUAAAUCUAGCCAGCUCUUGUUUCUCCUGGGAGCUGUCAGCCACUCAAUCUGCAGACAUAAAUUCGCUGGCAGAACUCAGGCCAGCUUGGUGCGACGCAGCAGACAGCACCAUGACAAUGUGGAAGUCAUGGAGAGAGCGAAGUCCUGGAUGGUGGCUGUGUCUGCGCUGCGGGAACGUCACAUGUGGCACAUCCAGCACCUUCUAAAUGUCUUAUAUCACACACACUGCCCAUUGUCAAGCUCUGUAGAAAACCAACUGGACCUCUUGAAGCUGUCUGCCUGCUUUAUGUACUGAGUUGUGGCUGUGAUUCUCUUUUUUUGUCAGAGAAGGCUGUUAGCAUAAAUGAACAGGUGGUCACUGAGGGUACAUAAUAUUAAGGAAAAUUGCAGCAAAUUUUGUUGUUAAAGUAUAGGACGCUCCUUUUGGGGUGUCAAGCCAGCAACAUGUUUAUUAAAUGAGUGGAAAUUAUUCAGUUAAUAAAUGGAAAAUAUGUGUUUCCAGUCCAGUUUUAAAAAUAAAUGUCAAAUAAAUACAUAAUUAAAAAUAUCCUCUAUCAGUCUAACAAUAAAAGUGUCUUGAAAAUGCAAAUAAAGUUCUUUUGAAA
Long non-coding RNA from Brienomyrus brachyistius, 663 nucleotides. RefSeq lists it as uncharacterized. The transcript is spliced from 3 exons. The record is from RefSeq and is a predicted model, not a curated record. NCBI's taxonomy places the organism in Eukaryota, Metazoa, Chordata, Actinopteri, Osteoglossiformes, Mormyridae.